RNAcentral lists this long non-coding RNA (721 nucleotides) under Helianthus annuus (common sunflower). RNAcentral describes it as "hypothetical non coding rna". Lineage: Eukaryota; Viridiplantae; Streptophyta; Magnoliopsida; Asterales; Asteraceae. The record is from RNAcentral.
GUUAUCACACACGACCAAAAACCAUAGAGAGAACACUUGGUAGAUAAAGAAACCGAGUAGUGAUCGGUUGAGGGUGGGUGUUCAGCAUGGUGGUGCUAGUUGCGCUGAGUAGCAGCUGUAGUGUAUCACAACAACCAAUAAAGUGGCUACAUGGUGGUUCCAUAUGGUGGUGUGCGAUCCGGUCAUGAGAGGGUGAGAGUGUGCAAUUUAUCUUAGCCAUAGGGAGGACCAUAGCGUUGCAAUAAUACUUGUGGUGAUGAAGCUAACACACGACCCGUGGUGGUGGUGUUAUCAACAUUUAAAAAAAUAAAAGGUGAUAAACACCUUCCUUAUGAGUUGUGGUACGACCGACAGGUUGUUGUUCACGGCUGAUCAACUCAGAAAAAAGCCUAAUUGUGAUGGUAGAGAUGGUUGGUGGCAGAGCUAGAGGUGGUGUUUCAUGGAGGUUUUGGGUUUUCAUGUCGGAACAAAAGCACAAAUACCUAGAGAUCAAUUUUCUAAUAGUUGAUAAAGAGUUAAUGGUGGUUAAAUGAGUUUCAAAGUGGGAUGAGCUUCACACGCCUUUCAGGGUUGAUGUGAUUUUAGGGGUAAAGCACAGGUAUUAAGUGGUAGGUUGAUUGUUUGUGGGGGUUAUUUGUGGUUUUGUGUGAUUGUGAUAAGUUGUAUGGAUAUAUUGUAGUAGAUAUUAUGAUGCAUGCUUAAUGCAUGAAAUAUAAUUUCU